Molecule: long non-coding RNA, 1122 nt
Filed under: Apteryx owenii (little spotted kiwi)
Lineage: Eukaryota; Metazoa; Chordata; Aves; Apterygiformes; Apterygidae
Description: lncRNA (ENSAOWG00000009417.1)
Source: RNAcentral
CCUUUGGUCCACUUUGAGCACAGCAGAGUGGAAGGAUUCAAACACGUUUCAGGAUGGAUGCAGAGUUCUUGGUCAAACAAAGCAAAAAGCGGUGCUUUGAAAUCCCAGUGCAGCACAAAGAGUUGUUUACUCAGCACGAGGACUGAGAAACAGGUUGCUGCACAGCCCCACAAAUGUUCUCGCUGGAUCAGCGGUAGAAGGAGCUCUGAGCAGCAGUGCCACCAAACGUUGAACUGUGACUCAUAUCUGACCAGUGCUUCCUUCUUUGAAGAUGCCAACUUACACUGGCCCCGUUUGUGUGGCUGCUUUUGAGCCCGAUGUGCUCAGUGAGCCUGUUCACUACGGGUGUCUCCACGAAGGAUUCCACAGAAGUUUUGUCAGAUGGUGCCCUCCACCCUAAACCCAGCAAACAGGAGUGUUUGUAGGUUUUUUCAUACAAAGAAGCAGGGGGAGAGGGAAGAGGUGUCUCGUGGGUUUCGUCUGUGAUGUCUGGCCAGGGAUUUCUGCAAUAUUACUUCCAUUCUGGUAUUUUAGAUUGCUACCUCUCCUAGUGUCAAAUACUGCUGCAUGUGCUGUGCGAGCAGCAGCGCAGACAGCUCUUCACAAACAUUGUAGUGAUUAAAAACAUGGAGAUGUCCUGGUGAGCACUUACAGGCAAAGUUAGAUCAAAUGAAAACAAACCACGUAGCCUUGCAGGUGACUACUGUAUUGCUGGAGCCAAACUCGCGUGUUGCUGACAGAGACAGUGGGUAGUUGUGCCAAGAGCAUCCAGCUCUGCUUGGGAAGGAGCCCCAGGAGGUGUCUUCCUCCCUCUGCAUCAGUGCUGCAAUGGCGGGCUGUUUGAGGGCUGUGCACGCACCAUGCGUGUGUGUGCACAUGCACGUUGUGCAAGUGCGUGCACCUUAUGUAUGUGCAUAUGCAUGAUGUGCAAGUGCACGCACCUGGUACGUGUGCACAUGCAGGUCGUGCAAGUGCAUGCACCUUGCACGUGUGUGUGCCCGUGCAAGUGCGUGCACCUUACGUGCGUGCACAUGCACGUCGAGUAAGCGCAGGCACCUGGCGCGUGCCCACGCGCAGCGUGUGUCCGCGUGCGUCCCCGCACGUGCCGCGCCGCCGACGCCC